UUCAAUAACGAUUUAUUGCGAAGUUUCCUGACCUUAUAUCAUUGCAUCAAAUCCAUACUGUAACACACUUCCGCACCGGUUUAAAGUGACAGGAGCAUCCAUGUGCCCUCUUCCGGGUUCCUUGCUAGGUUCAAUAUAUACAGGUUAAGGGUGCGUUCGUAAAUUAACUUUAACUAUGUACGAUUUCAGAGCACUCUCGUCUGUGUGCAAGAGCGCUGAAUAACGGAUGCAUUUACAAACGUGCAACACGUUAAAUAUGACCAUUGUCAGUAAACGUCGGCAAAAAAACGUAAUUAAAUUGUUACCAGCAGCACAGUUAUAGUCACCAAACGAUAUGGAUAACAUGAAAACAGCCUAACCAGCUCUGCUAGGGCGAGUAAAAUGGUCAGAGUGAGGUGUUCUCUCAUUUGUGUCUGGGAGCAGCUAGCCAACUAGCCACCAUCAGCCAGUUAGCUGGGUGCUUGACUGCCCUUGAGGUCAGAACGCUCGGAUCAAACCAACUCCUCCGUCAGAGCGUCCAAUGUGGCUCUGAAUUUACGAACACACCACCUAGGUUCCACUUCAUACUCCCCCGUCAGCUCUGGGACGCAAAAUAGUGUUAUGUCUUGAGACAUUUUAUUUUGGAAUGUUGAACAUUUCAAAUUCGCGGAUCAUUCUUCAGUCAACUGACAGAUGAUGCAAGACUCACAAACGACCUGGAGGAUUUACAAACUGUUACAAAAGUAUUUUAAUAUGUAAUUUGCCCGUUAAGGUAUGCGGGAUCAGAAAAAGGAGAAGGGGUCAUGCCAAAUGUCUCAACCUCGGUGAUAGCUCAGCCAUCACCAUCUGAUUAUAUCCAGAUUUUUCAAGACAUGUUGAGUCAAAGCUGAUCUACUCUAACAGCAGCUAUUGUAUUUUCUGUGCAGUUUUAUUUAAUAGAGAAUACAUCUAAAUGUUACAUGAAAAAAGGCCCAAAUAACUGGUGGAUUAGAUUUUUUUGUUUUGUUGAUCAACCUCACGUGCUGCAGAGUAGACUGGAUUUAUCUGAGUGCUAACCUCUAUGCAUGGAUAUGCUGAUGAGGUAAAUUAUGAAUGGAUGCUUGUAUCUGCUUUUUGUUUUUACAUGUGCUUUAAUAGUUGUGUAAUGAACUUGGCCUAUUUCUCCUUUGUCAGGAUAUAAGGACGGAAUACAUGUCAACAACUCCAACAAGACUGGACAUAGAAUACAACUAGGGUCCUAUCUGGUGUCAAACAUUAAGCCCUCAUGGAUGGUAGGGCUUUCUGCUUCAGAUUAAGCAAUAGAAGCUCUGAGAUCCCCAAAACAAGAGAUGACAAUCUGGCUGUAAAGACUUGAAGAUAGUUUGGAGCCCUAUAACACAUUUACCAAGUUAUUUUGUUGCUUCUGCCUCUUAUUUGUCAAUAAAUCUAUAUUA
Molecule: long non-coding RNA, 1412 nt
Organism: Oncorhynchus gorbuscha (pink salmon)
Lineage: Eukaryota; Metazoa; Chordata; Actinopteri; Salmoniformes; Salmonidae
Exons: 4
Source: RefSeq, a predicted model, not a curated record